GAUGAACGCUGGCGGCGUGCCUAAUACAUGCAAGUCGAGCGAACAGACGAGGAGCUUGCUCCUCUGACGUUAGCGGCGGACGGGUGAGUAACACGUGGAUAACCUACCUAUAAGACUGGGAUAACUUCGGGAAACCGGAGCUAAUACCGGAUAAUAUAUUGAACCGCAUGGUUCAAUAGUGAAAGACGGUUUUGCUGUCACUUAUAGAUGGAUCCGCGCCGCAUUAGCUAGUUGGUAAGGUAACGGCUUACCAAGGCAACGAUGCGUAGCCGACCUGAGAGGGUGAUCGGCCACACUGGAACUGAGACACGGUCCAGACUCCCACGGGAGGCAGCAGUAGGGAAUCUUCCGCAAUGGGCGAAAGCUUGACGGAGCAACGCCGCGUGAGUGAUGAAGGUCUUCGGAUCGUAAAACUCUGUUAUUAGGGAAGAACAAAUGUGUAAGUAACUAUGCACGUCUUGACGGUACCUAAUCAGAAAGCCACGGCUAACUACGUG
Molecule: ribosomal RNA, 497 nt
Filed under: uncultured bacterium
Lineage: Bacteria
Description: partial 16S ribosomal RNA
Rfam family: Bacterial small subunit ribosomal RNA
Source: RNAcentral